This 433-nucleotide ribosomal RNA is filed under the name uncultured bacterium. Its description in RNAcentral is "partial 16S ribosomal RNA". It matches the Rfam family "Bacterial small subunit ribosomal RNA", at positions 29 to 507 of the family's 1533-position model. The record is from RNAcentral.
AACGAACGCUGGCGGCAUGCCUAACACAUGCAAGUCGAACGAGACCUUCGGGUCUAGUUGCGCACGGGUGCGUAACGCGUGGGAACCUGCCCUUAGGUUCGGAAUAACUCCCCUAAAGGGGUGCUAAUACCGGAUAAUGUCUUCGGACCAAAGAUUUAUCGCCUUUGGAUGGGCCCGCGUUGUAUUAGCUUGUUGGUAGGGUAAAAGCCUACCAAGGCUACGAUCCAUAGCUGGUCUGAGAGGAUGAUCAGCCACACUGGGACUGGGACACGGCCGGGAAUAUUACGGGAGGCAGCAGUGGGGAAUAUUGGAAAAUGGGCGAGGGCAUGAAGCAGCAAGGCCGCGUGAGUGAUGAAGGCGUGAGGGUUGUAAAGCUCUUUAACCCGGCAUGAUAAUGACAGUACCGGGAGAAUAAGCACCGGCUAACUUCGUG